RNAcentral lists this ribosomal RNA (406 nucleotides) under uncultured bacterium. Its description in RNAcentral is "partial 16S ribosomal RNA". It matches the Rfam family "Bacterial small subunit ribosomal RNA", at positions 28 to 526 of the family's 1533-position model. The record is from RNAcentral.
GACGAACGCUAGCUACAGGCUUAACACAUGCAAGUCGAGCGACCGGCGCACGGGUGAGUAACACGUAUCCAACCUGCCCUCUACUCGGGGCUAGCCUUUCGAAAGAAAGAUCAAUACUCGAUAUAAAGGAUGGGGAGGCGUUCCAUUUGGUUGUUGGUGAGGUAACGGCUCACCAAGCCUUCGAUGGAUAGGGGUUCUGAGAGGAAGGUCCACCACAUUGGAACUGGGACACGGUCCAAACUCGUACCAGAAGCAGCAGUGAGGAAUAUUGGUCGAUAGGCGUUAGCCUGAACCGACCAAGUAGCGUGAAGGAUGAAAGGUUAUGGGUCGUAAACUUCUUUUAUGUAAGAAUAUGUAUUAUAUGAAUAAGGAUCGGCUAACUCCGUGCCAGCAGCCGCGGUAAUUC